AGUAACACGUGGAUAACCUACCUAUAAGACUGGGAUAACUUCGGGAAACCGGAGCUAAUACCUGAUAAUAUUUUGAACCGCAUGGUUCAAAAGUGAAAGACGGUCUUGCUGUCACUUAUAGAUGGAUCCGCGCUGCAUUAGCUAGUUGGUAAGGUAACGGCUUACCAAGGCAACGAUGCAUAGCCGACCUGAGAGGGUGAUCGGCCACACUGGAACUGAGACACGGUCCAG
Molecule: ribosomal RNA, 231 nt
Filed under: uncultured Staphylococcus sp.
Lineage: Bacteria; Bacillati; Bacillota; Bacilli; Caryophanales; Staphylococcaceae
Description: partial 16S ribosomal RNA
Rfam family: Bacterial small subunit ribosomal RNA
Source: RNAcentral